UAGAAAGUAGUAUAAUGGUAAAACAAAGAACUUUGACUUCUUAAAUAUAAGUNCAACUCUUAUCUUUCUAA
RNAcentral lists this transfer RNA (71 nucleotides) under Astropecten articulatus. Its description in RNAcentral is "tRNA-Gln". It matches the Rfam family "tRNA". From Rfam's summary of the family: Transfer RNA (tRNA) molecules are approximately 80 nucleotides in length. Their secondary structure includes four short double-helical elements and three loops (D, anti-codon, and T loops). Further hydrogen bonds mediate the characteristic L-shaped molecular structure. tRNAs have two regions of fundamental functional importance: the anti-codon, which is responsible for specific mRNA codon recognition, and the 3' end, to which the tRNAs corresponding amino acid is attached (by aminoacyl-tRNA synthetases). tRNAs cope with the degeneracy of the genetic code in two manners: having more than one tRNA (with a specific anti-codon) for a particular amino acid; and 'wobble' base-pairing, i.e. permitting non-standard base-pairing at the 3rd anti-codon position. The record is from RNAcentral. Lineage: Eukaryota; Metazoa; Echinodermata; Asteroidea; Paxillosida; Astropectinidae.